UCUAUUUGGAUUCCUUUGGCCUCUCUGUGCAGCAUCCUUCCUUCUGAGUGUGGGGCAGGACCCUCUCUGGAAUGGGGUCUUAGGACCUACAGUCAAAUAAGGUAGAUCAGAUGAUUUCUUUAUGGCCAGUUUUUACACAGAAAGGGGUGGGGCAAGUAUUAUGUUAAGGAUUUAUAGUUGGCUUUAGGGGAAAGGGGUUUUGGUUUCUGUGACUUACCUUGGGGAAGAGGGAUUCUAUUUCUAUGCCUAGCCUCAAGAGAUUGAGUGGUCAGAGACAGGAGUGCAGAAGAAUGACAGAGAGAAACUUUUGCUUCAGAGGCCUUCAUUUUGUGGUAGUGUUUUCUGAGCUCCAGCACAAGUAAUAGCCAUUUCUUCUCCCUUUCCUUUCCUGGCCUCUCAGAGUAGAAACACCUGUUUAAGGAUUCAGAACUAGGUGCUCUGGAGUUACUGCAGCCGUGGAUGGUCGCGGGCGGUAUGUCUUAGCGCCUGGCCUCGGGGCCCACUGGGUGUGUGGCUCUUGUCCCAAGAGAAACCAACAAUGGAAAUGCACUUCGGGUUUGAGACUGUAUCGGAGGAAGAGAAGGGGGGAAAAUUCUAUCAUGUCUUUGAAAGUGUGGCCAAGAUGUAUGAUGUGAUGAGUGACAUGAUAAGUUAAGUCUUGAUAUCCAUCGUGUUGGGAAGGACUCGCUGCUCUGGAGAUGUGUCCAGUUCCUGGGACCCAGCUGCUCGAUGGUGCUGGAGGCACAGGCGCAGCAUCAGAGAAAGCAGAAGAGGCAGUUAAGGGUUCAGCAAAAUUUAUCCUGGGAAGAAAUUGCCAAAAAAUACCAGAAUGAAGAGGAUUCCUUGGGCGGUUCCCAUGUCAUGGUCUGCAACAUCAACAAGGAGAUGCUAAAGGUGGGACUGCAGAGAACCUUUGCUCAAGGACACAAAGUUGGACUUACAUGGGUAUUGGGAGAUGCUGAAGAACUGCCCUUUAAUGAUGACAAGUUUGAUAUUUACACCAUAGCCUUUGGGAUCCAGAAUGUUACACACAUUGAUCCGGCACUGCAGGAAGCCCAUCAGGUCCUGAAACCAGGAGGACGGUUUCUCUGCCUGGAGUUUAGCCAAGUGAACAAUCCCCUCAUACCCAGGCUUUAUCAUCUAUAUAGCUUCCAGGUCAUUCCUGUCCUGGGAGAGGUCAUUGCAGGAGACUGGAAGUCCUAUCAGUACCUCAGAGAGAGUAUCCGAAGGUUCCCAUCGCAGGAAGAGUUCAAGGAGAUGAUAGAAGAUGCGGGUUUCCACAAGGUGACUUAUGAAAGUCUAACAUCAGGCAUUGUGGCCAUUCAUUCUGGCUUCAAACUUUAAUGCCUUCCCUAUGUUGGAGUGUAAACCAGUCACAUCCUGUUGAAAGCCUGGAACUGAAGGAUAAUCUUGCAAAUGAGACAUCAGUUGAGUGUCUCCUCUUAAGGAUAUGUGCCUUGGACUCAUGUUCUGAAGUGACCAAUCUCAAAGUGGGAAGAAACAAAUGCCUGUCAGUUUUUGCAGCUUACAUUAGUUGCUGCAUCAGGCUCUCUGCCAGAGGUAUUUGGUCUGUUUAUUUGCUCAACUCCUGCUAAAUUUCUCUUGGCUGUGCAGUAUGUGGUUAGGAUAAAACCAGCACUAAAGCAUAGUUUGGAAGUGUAUUUGUAGCUUCUUUACUUGUGCUGCCUUUCAGAAGGACAAUGGAUCAUUGAACCCAAUGAUGAUUUUAACCAGAAAACUUAACUGUACCUGAAUCAACCUUUCAGCCUAGGACUGAGUCUAGGGCCAAAAGCCAAGACCCAAGUCAGAGGGCUAACAGUCACUACUGAAAUUGUGUGCUGAAUCAGUAAAUGAGUUUACAAUUUGGUGGUAUUUGCCAUUUUUUUUCUUGAGGGUGGGUAAAGGAAAUACAUUUUUUCAUCAUUCUUUUAGUCAUCUUCUACCAAAAGCUGCUAUGUGACCUCAGUCUUAUCAUAAAGAAAACCACUCGCUAAAUCCUUGUUCAAAGAAUAAAUGUACCAGCAAAAAAUAAAUAAAUAAAAAUAAAAAGGAUUCAGAACUAUUUCCAUGUGAUGAACAUUCAAGAUCUGGGCCUUUUUCCCGCACCAAAAAUAAAUAUCAGGAACCUCAUACUUUCUGACAAGAGAAAGUGGAAAACUAAUAACUGUUGUAACAUGUGGUAGGAACUACCCCAGCACUAUCAUGGGUAUUUUUCUCAUUUGGUCCUGCCAGUGAUCUUUGCCAGACACUGUUAUGCCCAUUUCAUAGAUGAUAACACUUAGGCACAGAGAGUGAUUUGCCAUAGCCAUAAGGAUAUGACAGAGCCAGAAGUUGAAAGCAAAUCUAUCUAAAUUCCAAAGCCAUGAUCUUUCUACCAGAGACUCUGGUAUUUGCCAUAACCAGAGUUGAUAGCUUAUGGUCAGCAUGCAGAGGUGGGAAGAGCCCUUGCAGUCAGCUGGGCCAGGAUUUGAGUCCAGCACUGUUACUUAGCAGCUUAGAAACCUUUAUCUAUAAAACAGAUAUAAUGGUAAUUCCUAACUCGGGUUGUUGUGGGGAUUAAAUGAGAUAAUGCAUGUACAGUAUUUUGUACAGUAUCUGACACAUAAAAUACUAUGUAUCAUUAGGAUAAUGUUAAAAGAAACAAUACUGAUAAAGAAGUUCAGCUCCUCAGAAAAUGAGAAUUCUUGUUGACUCUGCUACAGACCCUGGACAGUAGCUUGGGGAGACGAUAGGCAAUGGCUAAAAUGUGUUUAUAGGUUUAUCAACAAAAUUAAGUUGAGCUCCCUUGUGUUAUGAUACAUUUCUUUUAUCCUAGACUUCCCCAGGGUUUUACCAUAUUUAUUUUAACAAGAGACCAUCUUGGGAAACAGUUUGAACCCCAACUGGAAUUUAUUAUUUGAAAGCCAAGUAGGAAGGAGAACAGGGAUGCCAACAAAUAAAAUUGAAAAUAGGGUUUUUCAGUUUAAUAAAGUUAAAACCUAAACAACACCUAAAAGUUUUGGCUCUUAGUGGCUAAGAUUUGGCAGCUAUUAUGAGCCUGGAUCCAGGGGGCCUGUUUCAAGAACAGGGACACUCCUCUCUUUCUCUGCCUGCUUCCUCCUGCACGCUUAGCAGCAGGCCUGUAGGUCCCAAUGGCCAGAAUAAUGGAACUUUGCCCAAACCAACUACCAGAUAAGCAGGAACAACUCUGUUCAGAAGGAACAAAGCAGGCCUUGGUUCUACCAGUGGAAAUCAGGAAGUGAGUUGUUUGUAGCCAUCUAGAGAAUUGUCUCAUGUACUUGUCUCUUAAUACUGUUUAUGCUGGCUGCACCGUGAAAGAGUUUGAUAACACUGAGUUAGACAGUGACACCUAGUGCCACUGAGCCCUGUUCUUCCCUCUGCUGCCUCUAACUUGCAAACGAUGUC
Non-coding RNA from Microcebus murinus (gray mouse lemur), 3405 nucleotides. NCBI's taxonomy places the organism in Eukaryota, Metazoa, Chordata, Mammalia, Primates, Cheirogaleidae. The record is from RefSeq and is a predicted model, not a curated record.